RNAcentral lists this transfer RNA (73 nucleotides) under Mycobacteriales bacterium. RNAcentral describes it as "tRNA-Lys". It matches the Rfam family "tRNA". From Rfam's summary of the family: Transfer RNA (tRNA) molecules are approximately 80 nucleotides in length. Their secondary structure includes four short double-helical elements and three loops (D, anti-codon, and T loops). RNAcentral also lists the same sequence under 3 other names. Lineage: Bacteria; Bacillati; Actinomycetota; Actinomycetes; Mycobacteriales. The record is from RNAcentral.
GGGCCGUUAGCUCAACUGGCAGAGCAGCGGACUUUUAAUCCGCGGGUUCAGGGUUCGAGCCCCUGGCGGCCCA